AUAAUGCGGGUAUGCAUUUAUGUUUUCAUUUCAUGUUCUAGGUCGCCCACCAGUAUAAUGUGGGAAUACUUUUCAGUUCUAGGUCGCCCACCAGUAAAAUGCGGGAAUACAUUUAAGUUCUAGGCGCCCACCAGUAUAAUGCGGGAAUACUUUUCAGUUCUAGGUCGCCCACCAGUAAAAUGUGGGAAUACAUUUAAGUUCUAGGUCGCCCACCAGUAUAAUGCGGGAAUACUUUUAAGUUCUAGGUCGCCCACCAGUAAAAUACGGGAAUACAUUUAAGUUCUAGGUCGCCCACCAGUAUAAUGCGGGAAUACAUUUCAGUUCUAGGUCGCCCACCAGUAUAAUGAGGGAAUACAUUUUGUCUGUUCAUUCCAUAUUCUAGGUCGCCCACCAGUAUAAUGCGGGCAUACAUUUCAGUUUUCCAUUUCCAGGUCGCCCACCAGUAUAAUGCGGGCAUACAUUUCAGUUUUCCAUUUCCAGGUCGCCCACCAGUGUAAUGCGGGCAUACAUUUCAUUUUUCCAUUUCCAGGUCGCCCACCAGUAUAAUGCGGGUAUACAUUUUCAUUUCAUGUCCAGGCACCAGCUGUAUAACGAGAGGAAUACUUUUCAGUCUUAUACUGCAGAUUUUGAAGUCAGUAACCCCACCGGAAGGCAGAAGGUUACAACAAGAAUCCCCAGCAGGAAACAAUAAAAAUCCCAACACCGGAAGGCAGAGGGUGGCAACAAGAAGUCCCAGCGCAAAUUCAAGCGCAUGAGUCAAAAGAAAGAAAAGACGCGUCUUGAUGAAUCUGAUGAAGAUAAUCGUAUCCCCAGAGGAACCGCCAAAAAGCUUAAUGAAGAAAGCCAUGUCCCCAGCGGACCGAACAAAAUGACGAAAACUGGUAUUAAAAAAAAAAUCAAGGGCCAGAAGUCUUGGUAAAAAGGCACCAGAGGAAACACAAACCGACAAAAAGCAAGGAAACCGGAGCAAGGGGAAAACAGAUAAGAUUCUGUAAUUUCUAGCUUAGUCUAGAUUCUUAUUU
This 1022-nucleotide long non-coding RNA is filed under the name Nicotiana tabacum (common tobacco). RNAcentral's name for it is "long non-coding RNA (NTAB_LNC016522)". Lineage: Eukaryota; Viridiplantae; Streptophyta; Magnoliopsida; Solanales; Solanaceae. The record is from RNAcentral.